Long non-coding RNA from Olea europaea var. sylvestris, 864 nucleotides. RefSeq lists it as uncharacterized. The record is from RefSeq and is a predicted model, not a curated record. Lineage: Eukaryota; Viridiplantae; Streptophyta; Magnoliopsida; Lamiales; Oleaceae. The transcript has 4 exons.
CUAUCAGGCACAAAGCAAGAGAAAGAUUGUUGGAAGUGAAAAGGAUGACCCUCCAUGGAAUCAAUGAAGCAAUUGAAGAUAUCUGUAAUCUUAUGCACUCAGAGCAAGAGAUGCUCUAAAUUCACACUCCAGGGUUGAUGGAUUCGAUGGAAUUGGAAACAUCCAUCAUCGGAAGAGAUUAAUCUGCAUAGCUUGUGAUAUACUGUCGGCCUAUGUUGAUUUCUCCUUCUGUAAGAAGCAGAUUGAAGAGGCCGAAAUAUAUGCAAUUGUAUCUUUUCAUGCGAAAUUGAUUUUUCUUUUAUCAAAUUCGUAUGUCUAUAUGUCUUGCUUCCACAGGUAUGGAGGUGUUACUGAUAUCGUUUGUAAUUUCGUUACUAAUGUUGCAGUGAAAGCAUUUGAACUGGCUGUCUAUUGUCUCAUUGACUAAGAGAUUUAGAAUAGUUUUGGCUUAUAAUUGUGUCAUGGAUGCCCAAAGUCCUAGCAACAAUAUUGUUUAUACUUGAGAUGAAAUUCCUCUAAACAGUGAUGAUUUCAACCAGAAGUUUACAAAUUGCGGAACGGGUUAUGAUUUAUCUAUUUUUUCCCAUCUACUGCCAUUGUUGUCGUCCAAGGUAGAGUUCUGAUGCAGUUCAAUGUCUGAAGAUUUUGGGGCUCACAAGGGUUUUAGCCAUUAUAAAGUUGUCUAUAAAAUUUUCUCAGGAUUAUUUCUUUUCUUAUCUUUGUCAAUUUCUUUCUUUUGUUCUAUAGCAGGAUCAUAGGAAUUAUUUCUUAGGCUAUUUUUAGACACCUGUUUUGUAUAUAUUUAGAUAUAUUGUUAUAGUUUUCGGCUUUUGAUGGUGAAAAUUGAUUUAUGUUCUUAAAUUU